UACGUAGGGGGCAAGCGUUAUCCGGAUUCACUGGGUGUAAAGGGAGCGUAGACGGAGAUGCAAGCCAGAUGUGAAAACCCGCGGCUUAACUGCGGGCCUGCAUUUGGAACUGUAUGUCUGGAGUACCGGGUGGGCAGGCGGAAUUCCUGGUGUAGCGGUGAAAUGCGUAGAUAUCAGGAGGAACACCGGUGGCGAAGGCGGCCUGCUGGACGGAUACUGACGUUGAGGCUCGAAAGCGUGGGGAG
RNAcentral lists this ribosomal RNA (245 nucleotides) under uncultured Lachnospiraceae bacterium. RNAcentral's name for it is "partial 16S ribosomal RNA". It matches the Rfam family "Bacterial small subunit ribosomal RNA", at positions 524 to 768 of the family's 1533-position model. The record is from RNAcentral. Lineage: Bacteria; Bacillati; Bacillota; Clostridia; Lachnospirales; Lachnospiraceae.